Centruroides sculpturatus (bark scorpion) is the source of this 310-nucleotide long non-coding RNA. RefSeq lists it as uncharacterized. The transcript has 3 exons. The record is from RefSeq and is a predicted model, not a curated record. Lineage: Eukaryota; Metazoa; Arthropoda; Arachnida; Scorpiones; Buthidae.
UGGCGAUAUUAUUUUUGUUUUAGAGGAAUAAUGUCAAUUUCCUUGUCAACGUGCUCGUUUAAAAAUAUUAUUUUUGAGCAUUUUCGUGGAAUAUUAUGUUAAUUUUUAUACUGUUAUGGUGAGAUUUAAGAAAAUUUGAAUUUUACCCUGAAAUGCCUGAAGAAAUGGAUGCUUUACUUAAUGCAGUUCUAAAUGAAGAUGUAAAAGAAGUUAGAAGAUUAUUAGAUGAUGGCUGUUCAAUUAAUUACAUGAACCAGGCAAGGAAUUGUAAAUUAAUAAUAUUUUAUUAAACUAAAUAACUUAUUUAUAA